Molecule: ribosomal RNA, 735 nt
Filed under: uncultured bacterium
Lineage: Bacteria
Description: bacterial SSU rRNA
Rfam family: Bacterial small subunit ribosomal RNA
Source: RNAcentral
ACGGGUGAGUAACGCGUGGGUAACCUACCCUGUACACACGGAUAACAUACCGAAAGGUAUGCUAAUACGGGAUAAUAUAUUUGAGAGGCAUCUCUUAAAUAUCAAAGGUGAGCCAGUACAGGAUGGACCCGCGUCUGAUUAGCUAGUUGGUAAGGUAACGGCUUACCAAGGCAACGAUCAGUAGCCGACCUGAGAGGGUGAUCGGCCACAUUGGAACUGAGACACGGUCCAAACUCCUACGGGAGGCAGCAGUGGGGAAUAUUGCACAAUGGGCGAAAGCCUGAUGCAGCAACGCCGCGUGAGUGAUGAAGGCCUUCGGGUCGUAAAACUCUGUCCUCAAGGAAGAUAAUGACGGUACUUGAGGAGGAAGCCCCGGCUAACUACGUGCCAGCAGCCGCGGUAAUACGUAGGGGGCUAGCGUUAUCCGGAUUUACUGGGCGUAAAGGGUGCGUAGGCGGUCUUUCAAGUCAGGAGUGAAAGGCUACGGCUCAACCGUAGUAAGCUCUUGAAACUGGGAGACUUGAGUGCAGGAGAGGAGAGUGGAAUUCCUAGUGUAGCGGUGAAAUGCGUAGAUAUUAGGAGGAACACCAGUUGCGAAGGCGGCUCUCUGGACUGUAACUGACGCUGAGGCACGAAAGCGUGGGGAGCAAACAGGAUUAGAUACCCUGGUAGUCCACGCUGUAAACGAUGAGUACUAAGUGUCGGGGGUUACCCCCUUCGGUGCCGCAGCUAACG